GCCGAGGUGGCGGAAUUGGCAAACGCGCAGGGCUUAGGACCCUGUGGGAUUUUCCCUUGUGGGUUCAAAUCCCACCCUCGGUA
This 83-nucleotide transfer RNA is filed under the name Candidatus Parcubacteria bacterium. Its description in RNAcentral is "tRNA-Leu". It matches the Rfam family "tRNA". From Rfam's summary of the family: Transfer RNA (tRNA) molecules are approximately 80 nucleotides in length. Lineage: Bacteria; Candidatus Parcubacteria. The record is from RNAcentral.